GAUGAACGCUGGCGGCGUGCCUAAUACGUGCAAGUCGAGCGAAUGGAUUAAGAGCUUGCUCUUAUGAAGUUAGCGGCGGACGGGUGAGUAACACGUGGGUAACCUGCCCAUAAGACUGGGAUAACUCCGGGAAACCGGGGCUAAUACCGGAUAACAUUUUGAACCGCAUGGUUCGAAAUUGAAAGGCGGGUUCGGCUGUCAAUUAUGGAUGGACCCGCGUCGCAUUAGCUAGUUGGUGGGGUAACGGCUCACCAAGGCAACGAUGCGUAGCCGACCUGAGAGGGUGAUCGGCCACACUGGGACUGAGACACGGCCCAGACUCCUACGGGAGGCAGCAGUAGGGAAUCUUCCGCAAUGGACGAAAGUCUGACGGAGCAACGCCGCGUGAGUGAUGAAGGCUUUCGGGUCGUAAAACUCUGUUGUUAGGGAAGAACAAGUGCUAGUUGAAUAAGCUGGCACCUUGACGGUACCUAACCAGAAAGCCACGGCUAACUACGUGCCAGCAGCCGCCGUAA
This 515-nucleotide ribosomal RNA is filed under the name uncultured bacterium. Its description in RNAcentral is "partial 16S ribosomal RNA". It matches the Rfam family "Bacterial small subunit ribosomal RNA", at positions 28 to 523 of the family's 1533-position model. The record is from RNAcentral.